RNAcentral lists this long non-coding RNA (1241 nucleotides) under Equus caballus (horse). RNAcentral's name for it is "lncRNA (ENSECAG00000052979.1)". The record is from RNAcentral. Lineage: Eukaryota; Metazoa; Chordata; Mammalia; Perissodactyla; Equidae.
AAAAUCCAUGUUGUGUCAAUUAGCUCCAUUCUUCAAACCUGGAAGGAAAUGUUCGAGUUCCGUAGAAAAACCCUGAAGGGCUGUUGAUCCAAACGCCAGCGUAUGUGAGCCCCUCGGGCAUACAAUUUCUGCUGGAAAACCGUAGACUGGGCCAAAGCCAGCGGUUCUCAAACUCUAGCAUGCAUAAGAACCACCUGGAGUGCUUGUCAAGCCCCAAAUUGAAGGGAGGGCCCCACUUCCAGAGUGCCUGAGUCAGUAGGUCUGAGAGCCGGAUCAUUUGUGCUUCUGACAAGUUCCCAAGCCUUGUUGAUGCAGCAGCUCUGAGAACCCCACUCUGACAGCAGCUUCUCCAGAGAGAUCUUCACAAGCCAUUGCUGCCUCUUGUCGUUAGUGAGCUGGUAUUUCUUCACCAAUGUUGGCCUUUCCUGAACACACCAUGCUAAGUUAUCCACCUGCCCUGGAAUAGGCUAUUCCCUCCACCCCCGGGAGCCCCACCGUCUGCCCUUUUCCAAGCCCAGCUCAGACCGAUAGACCUGGCCAACAGCCUCCCGCCACCGCUCCACCCGCGCCUGCCGCUCAUUUCUCUGCGCGCCUCGCACACUGUGCUUUGUGUUUGUCUGCCACAACAGAACAGUUUGUUUCCCUGUGUGUGGGCGGCAUUCCACGUGUGGUACCUGCCGACAACUUUUGAGGUACCUCAGUACUUGUAGACAGUACACAGACAAACAAAUGACACUGAACCACAAGAAAAGGAAGCUACUGUUUUCGGUUCUUUCCAAACUCUGCUUAAGCCUGGGAGAAAGCCUCAGUCUGGGGCUAAUGUGUCCUGACCCCCUUGCUAAUAACGCUCCAGCUCUGCGCCUGAGUCAGGUCAUUCCAUCACCGUCACCAUCAUCAUCAAAACAACGGCCGCUGAGCUCCUGUAGUCCUUUCUGUGUGCUUGGCAGUGUUUUAAGGGCUUUACCUAUAUUUACAUAAAUUAAUUCAGUUCCUCCUCACGAGCCUAUGAAGUAGAGAGAAUCAAGACUCCCAGUUUACAGAUGAAGAAACUGAGGCGCAGAGAGUUUAUGUGACUCACUCAUGGUCACACAGCUGGAAAGUGGGAGAACCAGGAUUGCAACCUGGGGGGAGGAUCUGAGUGCGUGCUCUUAACUACAAUACGCUGAACUAAGGUCUAAUACUGUUUGUCUUAUCCUUGUCUUCUCUCUGGAGCAAGAAUACUCUAUAUUUAGGUGGUGAUA